This 488-nucleotide ribosomal RNA is filed under the name uncultured bacterium. RNAcentral's name for it is "partial 16S ribosomal RNA". It matches the Rfam family "Bacterial small subunit ribosomal RNA", at positions 30 to 505 of the family's 1533-position model. The record is from RNAcentral.
AUUGAACGCUGGCGGCAGGCCUAACACAUGCAAGUCGAACGGUAACAGGAAGAAGCUUGCUUCUUUGCUGACGAGUGGCGGACGGGUGAGUAAUGUCUGGGAAACUGCCCGAUGGAGGGGGAUAACAACUGGAAACGGUAGCUAAUACCGCAUAACGUCGCAAGACCAAAGAGGGGGACCUUCGGGCCUCUUGCCAUCGGAUGUGCCCAGAUGGGAUUAGCUAGUAGGUGGGGUAACGGCUCACCUAGGCGACGAUCCCUAGCUGGUCUGAGAGGAUGACCAGCCACACUGGAACUGAGACACGGUCCAGACUCCUACGGGAGGCAGCAGUGGGGAAUAUUGCACAAUGGGCGCAAGCCUGAUGCAGCCAUGCCGCGUGUAUGAAGAAGGCCUUCGGGUUGUAAAGUACUUUCAGCGGGGAGGAAGGGAGUAAAGUUAAUACCUUUACUCAUUGACGUUACCCGCAGAAGAAGCACCGGCUAACUCCG